This 473-nucleotide ribosomal RNA is filed under the name uncultured bacterium. RNAcentral's name for it is "bacterial SSU rRNA". It matches the Rfam family "Bacterial small subunit ribosomal RNA", at positions 29 to 543 of the family's 1533-position model. The record is from RNAcentral.
AACGAACGCUGGCGGCAGGCUUAAUACAUGCAAGUCGAACGCGUGUAGCAAUACACGAGUGGCAGACGGGUGAGUAACGCGUGGGAAUCUACCCAGUGGUACGGAAUAACCCAGGAACUGGGACUAAGUAACCGUACUGAGCCCUCAAGGGGAAAGGAAUCUAUCGCCAUUGGAUGAGCCCGCGUCGGAUUAGCUUGUUGGUGGGGUAAUGGCCUACCAAGGCGACGAUCCGUAGCUGGUCUGAGAGGAUGAUCAGCCACACUGGGACUGAGACACGGCCCAGACUCCUACGGGAGGCAGCAGUAGGGAAUAUUGGACAAUGGGCGAAAGCCUGAUCCAGCCAUGCCGCGUGAGUGAUGAAGGCCUUAGGGUUGUAAAGCUCUUUCAGCAGGGAAGAUAAUGACGGUACCCGCAGAAGAAGCCCCGGCUAACUUCGUGCCAGCAGCCGCGGUAAUACGAAGGGGCUAGGCUUG